ACGACUCUUCUUGUUCGCCGGAGAACGGAGUUCAAAGAGAGGAGACUUUCUAGGGUCGGGAGAGUUGGUAUAAGUCGCGAAGAAACAAGAACGCUCGCAUGAGAAGAAGCCAGGAGGUAGAACGGUGGCGUUUUCAGACUUUCGUUUCUUGACACGCAAAGUGGAGCAACCCAUCUGAGACCUAAGGUCAGAGAUGUAAUGGUUGAGAUGAAAAGGUUCUUGGUCAUCUUCAAGAAGCUCAUGUAAGUGUUUCUUCUUCUCAGCAGCCAUGGAGACAAAACUACUACUCUAAAACUUUUGGGCGCUCUUUCUUAUAAGAAGAGAGAGAGGUUUGGUGAGGAGAGUGAAAGAUGAGGAACAGUUAUAGACAAAGGGUAAGACAUUGGAUAAAGAGUCAAUGCUUGGAUUUGGCUAUUUCCUAGCAUCUUGAAAAAUAAAAAUAAAAAUAAAAAUAAUAAAGUUUUGGUCUCUUUAUAUUCUUUUUUUCUUCAUAUUGAAAUGUAAUAUACAUGUGUCUUUGUGCAAAGGUAAUUUUGUUGGUUUGAAGAAAAUUUAGUUGACAUAUUAUUUUCAGAGGUGGGCCUUGAAAGGCUCCUGAAAAAAGUUGAGUUUACGUGUUAAAAUUCAAAUAGUCUAUUAAUCAAUUUUUUUUUUAUCAGCCAGAGAAAUUUGACAGAGCAUGCAGUAAGUAAUUUCAGUCACCUGGAUUGUAAAAUGCACUCGAGUAAUGUAAGCACAAUCAAUUUCUCAUCAUGUAAGGAUCAGAUUAUGGUCAUGAUUCAUGUACGGUCGGUCCACCUGUUGUAGGAAGAUGAAAACUGGGAUGCUGGUUUGCACUUAUUUUUUCCAUGUGGCUUGCUUGAAACUUGAAGUUCUUGGUAUCGAUAUGCGAGUCAGUCUAUAUCGUGUAUUUGUAAGUUUAUUGCUCUUUUAGAAGUAACACUUAGCUGACUGUGUAUUUGUUCUAGUAAAUACUAUACAAUUCCAAGAAAGAAAAUCACAAUCUGUAAUGGAUAAUUUUAUCUUUAAACACACACAAACACUUCUCGCAUGCUAAUUUUCAGAUGAUUUGAAAUGAAGACUGAAACUGAAAUGAAUAAUUUUUCUUCACUACAAAAAGUCUAUUUCUCUAUACGAGAUUUAUGACUAAAUUUUGAAAUAUAUGCGACAUGUCCUAAAGCAUUUUCAACCUCACUUCAUAUUUUAUUUUAAAAUAGAAAAGAAAAAUAAUAAUAAACAAAAAAAAAUAUUAUUUUAUAUAUAAAAUAAUAUUUUUAUUUUUUUUGUUCAUUUCUUCAUUUUUUACUCUGUUUUGUUAUAAAAUAUAGAGUGGCGUUGGAGAUACACUAGAAAAAACACUAAAUACGAACUAGAUGUUGAUAGUACACUAACAUUUUAUAUGCUAUUGAACUAUCCAACUUUAGCUUGAAACAAAUUUUUACAAGUUGAGUGUUCAACAUUUGUAUUGUUAAAAUAAACUGUGUUUAUUUAUUUAUAUACAUGGACUGACGUUAACUUGAUUUGAAAUCAAUAAGAUACGGUUUUAGUGAUAACAAUCUCAUUGGCACUUGACGUAAUUCCUAAUCUGAAUAUAUCUGAUUUAGUGAUAGAUAGUUCAAAAAGAAAGACACCCCAUGUUCCACAUUUCACGAUACCGGGCAUGGCACGAAAUCUAUCGUUGAUUAUUUAUAUUUGCAAGAAAUCUCAUAUAUUAGUGGUCGGAAAUUAACUUAUACUCAUCCGGAAAGUAGUAUCUGACGAUGCUGAAAUCAAGAAAAUAAAUCAUAUACAUAUAUUAUAGACCAAGACAAAUCAAUUUUAUCACAACUAUUAAAUAAUAAUUUUUUUAGCAAAAACAAAACUAUUACAUAAUUUAUAGAAUAUAAAUCGGAUAUUGAUGACAAAAAAAUAGGGCAUAUUCUAUUUCGUCUUCAUAUAAUUUUCGAGUAAUGAACAGGUUCAUAUCUUUGUCGUAAUAUAUCUAUGAUUAAGAUCAAUGUUUAUAUUAUCUUCACCCUAACAAAUACAAAACAAAAGUAGAAUAGUAAUUUAUUAAUUAAGGCGACUGUUGGUAACUACUAAUCCAACGACUAAUUUGUCCUACGUACUCAUAUAUUGUCCACACGUGAAAAUUUGCCAAUACAUAUACACAAAAUAAAAUGCAUAUCAUAUACACACCGAAUUAUUGUUUCUUGAAAAUUGAAAUUAUACAAUGAAAAAAAUAUUAGUACUUCUUGCUAUAAAAAAUGCAUUGGGCAGGACAAAUAAAGGUUCGCACCAUAAAUGAGAUGGAAAAGUUGUAGGCUUUACAGCUGGGACUCCCUUUAAUUAAAUUCUCAGCAUCUGUGGACUUUAGGUUUCUAUAAUUAUUUAGUAUACAGGUGAUAAUUUCACUAUGGUUCGACCUGUAAUUUCAUGUGGCACUACAGUUUAGUUUUCGCUUGAAUACUGAAAAUUGAUUUAAAGAGAAGUUGUGGAUCAAAUGUUUUAUAAUUGGUUUUACUGUUCAUCCACUCAUACCUAUUUCUAAUAAGUGUCAAAUCUGUGUGUUUAUUAAUAAGUAAGAUUAUUUUAUUAUUUUUGUUGUCUCAAUAUGAAUGAUUUUUAUCAUAAAAAGCGAAGUCCACUAAUUAUCACAACGUAUAUAAAAACAAUUAAUUGCAAUUGGUACUAAUAUACUGUAUUAAGGAGAGCACAUUGUAGGGACACUGUUUGUUCUCGGAUGCCACCAUGUCUAGAGAUUUAAAUACUAACCUAAUCAACUUGAAAUAUACAAAACGAACGAGAAAUACAAAGCUGUGGUAUUAGGUAAAGUUACAGCUGAUUAUUCUGUUUAAUUAUUUGUUAGUAAGCCAAAUCUACGACGCUUUUAUCACCUGAGCAUGCAGCAGACAAAAAGGUUUUGCUGAACGCGUGGAACGUAAAACGACACCGUAUGUCGAUUUUGUCUUUUAACUAAUUUUAUUAUUAUGACAAAACUUUGUAUCGCCCAAUAAAUUAAAUAUAUUUCCUCAGUCGUACCAUGAAAUGUCAAUUUAUGAAUAUACCGACGGAUUUGAUUUAUAUAAGUACUUAUUUAAAUAUUACAACAAAAAAAAUCUGUAUAUAAUAAUUGAAAUUUGAAAACCGUAUAUACGUAAGUUCACUGCACGUUUACUAUACACUACAUUAUUUAUUCAUGUUAUGCAGCAAAAAUUGCAAACAAAACCCAACGUAAAUCACUUUGUGUGGCUUAGUAAAGCCCUCAGCUAAUUAUUAUUAUAUUGGUAUUUACUCGUUAAUAUUUAAUUCUAAUGUAUAACAUUGUAAAUAGACUUUUAAAAGUAAACAACAUGAAAAGGUAAAAAAAAAUCCCUGGCCGUCUUCUCGUAGAAAAUGUUCUUUUCGUCUCGGAGCUUGUCCAAGGUUAUAAUUGGAAAAAUAUCUUUAGGCGAUCCAUCCUCAAAACUGAUCUGAAAAAGACAUUCGACUCUUUUUAGGUUCCCGGAAAAUUUUGUCAGCCUUAUUGAGCAAUGUAUAACAACGACAAGGUUUUCAGUUUCCGUAAACGUGGAAUUUGAAGGAUACUUCAGAGGGUCUAUGGGCCUUCGCCAAAAUGACCCUCUUUCGCCAUAUCUCUUUGUCCUAACCAUGGAGGUUCUUGGACAAAUGCUUAACACUGAGUUUAUAGCAGGCAUCAUUGAAUACCAUCCUUCAGCAUCUGAUCCCGCUAUAACUCACCUUGCCUUUGCGGAUGACGUUAUGAUAUUUUGUUUACGGAGAGCAAGGUUCAUUACGACAGAUAACAGCGACGCUGGACAGAUUAUCCUCCUGGUCAGGUUUGGUGAUGAACAAAUCUAAAACCAAACUCUUCACUGCAUGGGAUGAGCCAUGUAGAAGCUACAGACCUGGCAAGUCUUGGCUUCUCACUCGGCUCGCUUCAUGUCAGGUACUUGGGUCUCCAUUUGAUGCACCGGAAGCUUUGUGUCUCGGAAUACAUACCUCUUAUAGAUCAGCUCAAGAACAUGUUCACCUUGUGGUCCUCUCGGGCUCUCCUCUAUGCUGGAUACAUGCAAUUACUCUCUUCUGUCAUCUUCAGUACCGUAAACUUUUGGUUCUCAAGUUUAUCUUACCCAAAGGUUGUAUCUGGGCAAUUGAAUCUUUAUGUGCAAAAUUUUUUUGGAAUGGUAAAAUUACAUCCAGAGCUGCUGUGAAAGUUUCAUGGACUACAAUCUGUUUACCAAAAUCAAAAGGUGGAUUAGGGCUCCGUGACUUCUCAACAUGAAACAAGUCUCUUUGUCUGAAGUUAAUAUUGCUUUUGCACUGUGAAUCUGAAUCUUUGUGGCCUAAAAAGAUUUCACUUUUUUGACAAAACCUUGAUACCGACAUUUUCUAAGUCUACCACAAGAUUUGGUUUACAUUAAAUUUAAGACUUUGACCUACUGAAUUAAAAGGUAGAAAAUGUCUUUUGGUUUGAAAUCUUUGAAAUUGAAUAUCUAGUGAGAUGCAAUAAUCGGCAUAGUGGGGAAAUGUAAAUGACAUUAACACCCUCACCAAACCGAGGCACUACGACAUAUGUUCAGUCUAGGGUAGGGGCAUAUCCGUCAUUCUACACUAAAAACAUAUUUAACCGUACUCCUGAAGAACUUACAUAAUUCAGUCAAUAUCAGACGGGCAAUUUUCAGCCGGUCAUGUGUCACUGCUCUAAUCAGAUGUUUUUCCAUAGAAUGUUUUUUACUAUCUUUUUUACUGUAUGAUAAUUUAUGGCUAGUAUGAAUUAUUUGGCAGUGGAUUUAUUUAGUCAUUACUGAAAAUAUAUAAAAGUUCAAAAAUGAAAUUGCUAAAUAUAUUUUGUUUUUGGAACACUUUUUACUAAUAUUUCUAAAAUAAGGAAAUAAGCAAUUUUGUGUGGAAAAUGCAUUAAAUUUGAAAUGUUGUGGUUUAUGAUUUUAGAUUAAUAAUCUAGCUUUGUAUAGUUUAGAUUUAUUGUUUGGUUUAGGAGUAUUUUACUAAUCUGAUAUAAAACUUAAGACUAUUUUUCAUAAUUAUUUUAUUAAUUCUAAGCAUUUGCUGGAUAAUAAUUAAAUAUUAUUAACAGAUAAUUAUAUUUAAAUAGAUAAUUAUUAUAAACAUUUGCACCAAUAAAAAAUAAUUAAAGAACAAACCUCUGUACUGCGUCUCGCCGGAGAAGUAGCCGUCGACGUGAAGUGGGGAGUCCGGUUACCGGAAGUAGAAGGAGUUGUAUGGAGGACGAAAUGAAAAGGGCUCUCACAAAAGCACUUAUCAUCAACCUCCACCAAACGCUCUCGCCGGCUGCUACUACUCGUUGGCUCCGACCCGCGUUCAGACAAAACCGCGUUUCCAUCAGCGCUAUGCAGACACGGUUUGGCUUUACGGUUAGUUAACCGCUUCAAAACAGACCCGAACAUACCAAACGUGUUUCCUCUGUUCCGAGCUCUGUUGUUUGUAUUAUCAGCCUUCUCGACCUGCUGCUUCUGAAUCCUGGCCGCCGCUUCCAGCAGAAUUGCGGCGGUUCUUGUCGGUAUCUGAAGGAAAACUCGACCGUCACGACUCUUCUUGUUCGCCGGAGAACGGAGUUCAAAGAGAGGAGACUUUCUAGGGUCGGGAGAGUUGGUAUAAGUCGCGAAGAAACAAGAACGCUCGCAUGAGAAGAAGCCAGGAGGUAGAACGGUGGCGUUUUCAGACUUUCGUUUCUUGACACGCAAAGUGGAGCAACCCAUCUGAGACCUAAGGUCAGAGAUGUAAUGGUUGAGAUGAAAAGGUUCUUGGUCAUCUUCAAGAAGCUCAUGUAAGUGUUUCUUCUUCUCAGCAGCCAUGGAGACAAAACUACUACUCUAAAACUUUUGGGCGCUCUUUCUUAUAAG
RNAcentral lists this long non-coding RNA (5864 nucleotides) under Brassica napus (rape). RNAcentral describes it as "long non-coding RNA (BNAP_LNC004012)". The record is from RNAcentral. Lineage: Eukaryota; Viridiplantae; Streptophyta; Magnoliopsida; Brassicales; Brassicaceae.